Molecule: ribosomal RNA, 795 nt
Filed under: uncultured bacterium
Lineage: Bacteria
Description: bacterial SSU rRNA
Rfam family: Bacterial small subunit ribosomal RNA
Source: RNAcentral
AGAGUUUGAUCAUGGCUCAGAUUGAACGCUGGCGGCAUGCCUUACACAUGCAAGUCGAACGGCAGCACGGGAGCUUGCUCCUGGUGGCGAGUGGCGAACGGGUGAGUAAUAUAUCGGAACGUACCCUAGAGUGGGGGAUAACGCAGCGAAAGUUGCGCUAAUACCGCAUACGAUCUACGGAUGAAAGUGGGGGAUCGCAAGACCUCAUGCUCAUGGAGCGGCCGAUAUCUGAUUAGCUAGUUGGUGGGGUAAAGGCCUACCAAGGCAUCGAUCAGUAGCUGGUCUGAGAGGACGACCAGCCACACUGGAACUGAGACACGGUCCAGACUCCUACGGGAGGCAGCAGUGGGGAAUUUUGGACAAUGGGGGCAACCCUGAUCCAGCAAUGCCGCGUGAGUGAAGAAGGCCUUCGGGUUGUAAAGCUCUUUUGUCAGGGAAGAAACGGUGAGGGCUAAUAUCCUUUGCUAAUGACGGUACCUGAAGAAUAAGCACCGGCUAACUACGUGCCAGCAGCCGCGGUAAUACGUAGGGUGCAAGCGUUAAUCGGAAUUACUGGGCGUAAAGCGUGCGCAGGCGGUUAUGUAAGUCAGAUGUGAAAUCCCCGGGCUCAACCUGGGAAUGGCAUUUGAGACUGCAUGGCUAGAGUGUGUCAGAGGGGGGUAGAAUUCCACGUGUAGCAGUGAAAUGCGUAGAGAUGUGGAGGAAUACCGAUGGCGAAGGCAGCCCCCUGGGAUAACACUGACGCUCAUGCACGAAAGCGUGGGGAGCAAACAGGAUUAGAUACCCCGGUAGUCC